RNAcentral lists this ribosomal RNA (420 nucleotides) under uncultured archaeon. RNAcentral's name for it is "bacterial SSU rRNA". It matches the Rfam family "Archaeal small subunit ribosomal RNA", at positions 66 to 467 of the family's 1478-position model. The record is from RNAcentral.
GACUUCAACGGACGGUGUACGGCUCAGUAACAAGUAGUCAAUCUGCCCUUUCGGACUGGCAUACCCUCGGGAAACUGAGGUUAAUUCCGGAUGGCCCAUCUCUGCUGGAAUGCUUGAUGGGCAAAACGCGCGGCGAAUUGGAGCCGUUGUGCCGAAGGAUGAGACUGCUCUUGAUUAGGUAGUUGGUGAGGUAACGGCUCACCAAGCCGAUAAUCAAUAGGGGCAAUGGGAGUUGGCGCCCCGAGAAGGGCACUGAGACAAGGGCCCUAGUCCUACGGGAUGCAGCAGGCGCGAAACCUUUACAAUGCGCGAAAGCGUGAUAAGGGAACUCUGAGUGGCAGCCGGCUUUUGCCGACUGUCUUUUGGCGAACCUAAACCGUUCGCAGAAUAAGUUCUGGGUAAGACCAGUGCCAGCCGCCA